GCGAGAGUGGCGGAACUGGCAGACGCGCCAGACUUAGGAUCUGGUGAGACUACUCGUGGGGGUUCAAAUCCCCCCUCUCGCA
Molecule: transfer RNA, 82 nt
Filed under: Candidatus Krumholzibacteriia bacterium
Lineage: Bacteria; Candidatus Krumholzibacteriota; Candidatus Krumholzibacteriia
Description: tRNA-Leu
Rfam family: tRNA
About the family: Transfer RNA (tRNA) molecules are approximately 80 nucleotides in length. Their secondary structure includes four short double-helical elements and three loops (D, anti-codon, and T loops).
Source: RNAcentral